This 367-nucleotide transfer-messenger RNA is filed under the name bacterium. It matches the Rfam family "transfer-messenger RNA". Rfam says of the family: Bacterial tmRNA, also known as 10Sa RNA or SsrA, is named for its dual tRNA and mRNA-like properties. Its role is to liberate the mRNA from a stalled ribosome. To accomplish this part of the tmRNA is used as a reading frame that ends in a translation stop signal. The record is from RNAcentral.
GGGGGUGACAUUGGAUUUGACUUUUUGUAAGAAGAAUGAGCGUAAGCGUGUCGUGGUAGAGCGUCAAUCUUAAAACACAAACAAUCGGAAACGAUACAAAAUUAGGUUCAAUCCUAAACGAAAACAUUCUUUCGAAUGGUACUGUAGGUACAAUUGCGAAAGAAGAGGUAGUGUUCGCCUAAUAGAGUAACACACAUAGGUUAAUCAAAGUUCCUUAAUACUUGACAAGUGGUUGGGAGUGACUUUGCUUGUAAAAGACAGUUGGAACUUUAUAUUUUUGGAAAUGUAAGAAAACAUUUAUCCUACACACGUAGAAUUCCAUUUGGAUACGGAAAGGACGAGGGUUCGAGCCCCUCCACCUCCACCA